RNAcentral lists this ribosomal RNA (509 nucleotides) under uncultured bacterium. RNAcentral's name for it is "bacterial SSU rRNA". It matches the Rfam family "Bacterial small subunit ribosomal RNA", at positions 34 to 518 of the family's 1533-position model. The record is from RNAcentral.
CGCUGGCGGCGUGCUUAACACAUGCAAGUCGAACGAGACGAUUUAAGCUGCUAGAUGAGUCGAGUGGCAAACGGUGAGUAACGCGUAGACAACCUGCCGCAAAGAUGGGGACAACAGUUCGAAAGGACUGCUAAUACCGAAUGUUGUAUCUUUCCCGCAUGGGAGAGAUAUUAAAGAUGGCCUCUACUUGUAAGCUAUCGCUUUGCGAUGGGUCUGCGUCUGAUUAGCUAGUUGGUGGGGUAACGGCCUACCAAGGCGACGAUCAGUAGCCGGUCUGAGAGGAUGAACGGCCACAUUGGAACUGAGACACGGUCCAGACUCCUACGGGAGGCAGCAGUGGGGAAUCUUCCGCAAUGGGCGAAAGCCUGACGGAGCAACGCCGCGUGAGUGAAGAAGGGUUUCGGCUCGUAAAGCUCUGUUGACGGGGACGAAUGUGCGAAAUGCGAAUAGUUUUUCGCAAUGACGGUACCCGUCGAGGAAGCCACGGCUAACUACGUGCCAGCCGCUGC